Molecule: ribosomal RNA, 496 nt
Filed under: uncultured bacterium
Lineage: Bacteria
Description: partial 16S ribosomal RNA
Rfam family: Bacterial small subunit ribosomal RNA
Source: RNAcentral
GAUGAACGCUGGCGGCGUGCCUAAUACAUGCAAGUCGAGCGAACGGACGGGAAGCUUGCUUUUCUGAUGUUAGCGGCGGACGGGUGAGUAACACGUGGAUAACCUACCUAUAAGACUGGGAUAACUUCGGGAAACCGGAGCUAAUACCGGAUAAUAUUUUGAACCGCAUGGUUCAAAAGUGAAAGACGGUCUUGCUGUCACUUAUAGAUGGAUCCGCGCUGCAUUAGCUAGUUGGUAAGGUAACGGCUUACCAAGGCAACGAUGCAUAGCCGACCUGAGAGGGUGAUCGGCCACACUGGAACUGAGACACGGUCCAGACUCCUACGGGAGGCAGCAGUAGGGAAUCUUCCGCAAUGGGCGAAAGCCUGACGGAGCAACGCCGCGUGAGUGAUGAAGGUCUUCGGAUCGUAAAACUCUGUUAUUAGGGAAGAACAUAUGUGUAAGUAACUGUGCACAUCUUGACGGUACCUAAUCAGAAAGCCACGGCUAACUACGG